UGUGCAGAGAAGGGGCAUGCAGAUGCAGCAUCUGCACAAACUCUGCUGGAGGUAUCGUCCAUAAUUUUUGAUUCCUCAUCCUCUUCUCAGCCAAAGGCAGUAGCAGUAGCUCAGGAUACCAUUGAGUUCUCCGAACCAUCAAGGCGCUGCCUUUCCUUGUCUCCUAUCUCACGCAUUUGGUCCCGGCUGAUGUGUCAAUGGGGACUCACAUUUUACAUCAGGGUCGAUCUGCAGGAUCUGUCCACACAUAUCCUGAUCUGGGUGGGCCAUUCCCAAGCUUACAGGAAACUCACAAUGCUAUCGAUCGCCAUCUUGAAGGCCGUCGGCAUCCAAAACUGUAAAGUUCCUCAACUGUGCUCUAGAUUUUUGUGGCUGAAGCAAGAUGGUGUUUCUGAUAUGGAUAUUAUUGUAAGGCAAAGCAUUUACUGGCCUGAUGGCUCAAUCAAGAAGCGUACAAAAUCAUAUGCAACUGAGAAGACCCAUAAGAGAAUGUGCCAAUUGGUUCAAGCUUUAGUGGACAAGUAUAAUGAGGAUCACAAUCUUUUUGGGGAUCUGGCACAUAUGCUCCAAGAUGUUUUGCACUACCAAUCAGUUCGUGACAAAUUUAUGGGGUACUAUCAUCUCAAUUUCACUACAAAGACUAAAGAAGCAGAUGAUUUAGAUGCUGGCAUCGACAAUCUAUUCUUUGUGGAAAUCAGACGUUCGGGAAGAGGAAAACAUGAGGAAAUGUUGGUCAACUGUUUCUGCAUGGUUAAUCCUACUGACAAUGAUGAAGAUAAGAUAUGCUAUGGUUGUGCCAACCAAGGAAGUGUUGAUAUGAAGCACCCUGACCCUUGCAAAUAUGAUGGUGGUCACUUGGAUAUGGGUAGGCCAUUUGAAUGUGUUGAAGAGUGGAGUGACUCUGAAGAUGAUGCUGAAUAUGUGAAAACUAAGGAGGCUAAGAUAAGGCAUAUGUACGAGGUAAUUGUCAUAUUUUGGGCGGUAUGGGCCUUUGAUGAUCCAGGUGUUGUGGAGGAACUAUCCACCGACUGA
This 1032-nucleotide long non-coding RNA is filed under the name Oryza sativa Indica Group (long-grained rice). Its description in RNAcentral is "lncRNA OsMH63_08G020600". The record is from RNAcentral. Lineage: Eukaryota; Viridiplantae; Streptophyta; Magnoliopsida; Poales; Poaceae.